UACAGGGUCAAAGUAGUCAUCUUAGAAAAAAGGCCAAAAAUGCUAAAUCUUUCGGUGUCAAUUCUUCUCAACUGAGGUGUCCAAUCAUGAAGGAUGGGUGUUUGUUGCGGAGCUGCUCCUGGAGGAGAUCUUGCAUAGCUGAGUCGCAGUUCAAUGCAGUUGGUCCAGCAGAGGAAGGAUUUGUUUAAUUAAAGAGAAGAUAUGCUGUCAUCGUAAUUUUUACACAACGAAGAAAUUU
Molecule: long non-coding RNA, 238 nt
Organism: Leptopilina boulardi
Lineage: Eukaryota; Metazoa; Arthropoda; Insecta; Hymenoptera; Figitidae
Exons: 3
Source: RefSeq, a predicted model, not a curated record